AUACGGAGGAUGCAAGCGUUAUCCGGAUUUAUUGGGUUUAAAGGGUGCGUAGGCUGUGGGGAAAGUCAGGGGUGAAAGCCCGGCGCUUAACGCCGGAACUGCCUUUGAUACUUCUCCGCUGGAAUACGGAUGCCGUGGGAGGAAUGAGUAGUGUAGCGGUGAAAUGCAUAGAUAUUACUCAGAACGCCGAUUGCGAAGGCAUCUCACGAAUCCGUCAUUGACGCUGAGGCACGAAAGCGUGGGGAUCAAACAGGAUUAGAUACCCUGGUAGUCCACGCAGUAAACGAUGAUAACUAACCGUCGGCGAUACACAGUCGGUGGCCAAGCGAAAGCGAUAAGUUAUCCACCUGGGGAGUACGUUCGCAAGAAUGAAACUCAAAUGAAUUGGCGGGG
This 393-nucleotide ribosomal RNA is filed under the name uncultured bacterium. RNAcentral's name for it is "partial 16S ribosomal RNA". It matches the Rfam family "Bacterial small subunit ribosomal RNA", at positions 523 to 918 of the family's 1533-position model. The record is from RNAcentral.